CCUACGGGGGGCAGCAGUGGGGAAUAUUGGACAAUGGGGGGAACCCUGAUCCAGCCAUGCCGCGUGUGUGAAGAAGGCCCUCGGGUUGUAAAGCACUUUCAGUGAGGAAGAACGCCUGGUGGUUAAUACCCAUCAGGAAAGACAUCACUCACAGAAGAAGCACCGGCUAACUCCGUGCUAGCAGCCGCGGUAAUACGGAGGGUGCGAGCGUUAAUCGGAAUUACUGGGCGUAAAGCGCGCGUAGGUGGCUUGAUAAGCCGGUUGUGAAAGCCCCGGGCUCAACCUGGGAACGGCAUCCGGAACUGUCAAGCUAGAGUGCAGGAGAGGAAGGUAGAAUUCCCGGUGUAGCGGUGAAAUGCGUAGAGAUCGGGAGGAAUACCAGUGGCGAAGGAGGCCUUCUGGACUGACACUGACACUGAGGUGCGAAAGCGUGGGUAGCAAACAGGAUUAGAUACCCCAGUAGUC
RNAcentral lists this ribosomal RNA (465 nucleotides) under Vreelandella stevensii. Its description in RNAcentral is "partial 16S ribosomal RNA". It matches the Rfam family "Bacterial small subunit ribosomal RNA", at positions 338 to 795 of the family's 1533-position model. Lineage: Bacteria; Pseudomonadati; Pseudomonadota; Gammaproteobacteria; Oceanospirillales; Halomonadaceae. The record is from RNAcentral.